RNAcentral lists this transfer RNA (73 nucleotides) under Felis catus (domestic cat). It matches the Rfam family "tRNA". From Rfam's summary of the family: Transfer RNA (tRNA) molecules are approximately 80 nucleotides in length. RNAcentral also lists the same sequence under 2 other names. The record is from Rfam by way of RNAcentral. Lineage: Eukaryota; Metazoa; Chordata; Mammalia; Carnivora; Felidae.
GCCUGGCUGGCUUAGUCAGUAGAACACGUGACUCUUGAUCUUGGGGUCGUGAGUUCAAGCCCCACGUUGGGUG